This is a long non-coding RNA of Bos taurus (domestic cattle), 955 nucleotides long. The record is from Ensembl. NCBI's taxonomy places the organism in Eukaryota, Metazoa, Chordata, Mammalia, Artiodactyla, Bovidae.
UCUCAGGACAUUAGGCUUGGAACCCCUUAGAUCCUGAAGUAGCCACCAUUGCAGAAACAAGAGAAAGAGCCAGAGAGGGUAGGGUGCUGUGUAAGGUCACACAGUACAACAGAAACACUUGGGAGCCUGUCUGUGCCAGACCCUAUCUGAAAUGAGGAGACAGAGGCACUGAGCCCUCACACAGCCCAGAGGCCCCACAGCUGGGAUCUGAACCCAGUCAUCUGGCUGGUCCCUGCAGGAAAGUUACCUGUCUGUGUCCCUGUUUCCUGACCUGUCAAAUGAAUGGAAGAUGGUGGUCAAGUUUCUGCUCAAGGGCCACCUUCUCAGGGCAGCCUUCCUUGAUUGCCCUAGGAAGACAUUGUUGGAGCAACAGCUUAGAGAAUCAAGGAGAAUGUGACUGUUUGUGUCUUUUAACCCACAAUGAUCCAUGCAACAGUAUCUUCCAGAUUUUCCAAUAGGCCAAAGAGAAAGUCUCCAACGAUGCUGUUAACAUCUUUUGAACACCCGUGGAUCGCGUGUGUGCUCUCCCAGUCUCUUUUGCUCUCUCUCUCACCUGGACAAAGCUGAUCUUGGACCCAGAACUUCUACAGACAAUGGUAUCCAGCUAGAAUUUGAGAAUAUUGUUUUGUUUCCAUUUUGCUCAUUUUGGUCAGUUACUUUUUAUUUGUGGUAAGGGAUUCUGAUUUUUUUUUUUUUUUCCUGUUUGGAUAUUACUGGUGAGAGUACAAAGUGGCCCUGGAGAAGCUAUGGAGAAGUGUUGGCAUUUUCUGAUAAAGUGAUUGUCUGGGACCAGGCUGGUGCUGGGGGCCUGAUGUUACAAGGGAACUUGUGACGGUAAUGGAAUGUUCUGUUUUGACUGAGGUAGUGGUUACGUGGGUGUGUAUAUUUGUUAAAAUAUGUUGCACUGUGCACCUAAAUAGAUGCAUUUUAUUCUGUAUAGAUUUUACCUCAAUAA